CAGAACAGUGACAUGCUAUGUUUAUGUGA
This 29-nucleotide non-coding RNA is filed under the name Rattus norvegicus (Norway rat). The record is from RNAcentral. Lineage: Eukaryota; Metazoa; Chordata; Mammalia; Rodentia; Muridae.